GGCUAUGGAGCAGCAGCUGGUGUACCCAAUGGACAAGGUGGAAACCCACAAGGAGGAAUUCCUGCAGUUUCACCAAAUGGAAAUGGUGGAAAAUCUAAUGGAUAUGGUGUUCAAGCUGGUCCAACCAAUGGACAACAAGUGAAAGGAAACGGCUACGGUGCUCAAGCUGGUGGAUAUGGUGGACAAGGAACUAAAGGCAACGGCUAUGGAGCAGCAGCUGGUGUACCCAAUGGACAAGGUGGAAACCCACAAGGAGGAAUUCCUGCAGUUUCACCAAAUGGAAAUGGUGGAAAAUCUAAUGGAUAUGGUGUUCAAGCUGGUCCAACCAAUGGACAACAAGUGAAAGGAAACGGCUACGGUGCUCAAGCUGGUGGAU
Molecule: long non-coding RNA, 376 nt
Organism: Centropristis striata (black sea bass)
Lineage: Eukaryota; Metazoa; Chordata; Actinopteri; Perciformes; Serranidae
Exons: 8
Source: RefSeq, a predicted model, not a curated record